UCCAGUUUAAAUUCCAGUGCUAAAUACAGCUAAUCAUCUUCUGUGUGACAGUCAUGGUUCAUUCCAGUCUGAGACGUCUCUUCUGGAAGUACAAUCGACACCAGAGCCUUACAAACAUGGGCUGGACCCGCUGCAUCAUUUGGUUUCUGUGGUUUUCAGUGAGCGAGUGCCGGCAGCUGUCCAACACUGAGCCUGUCAUGCACGGACAAAUCCAGUCUCCCCAAUAUCCUCGA
This is a long non-coding RNA of Oreochromis niloticus (Nile tilapia), 233 nucleotides long. RefSeq lists it as uncharacterized. The transcript is spliced from 2 exons. NCBI's taxonomy places the organism in Eukaryota, Metazoa, Chordata, Actinopteri, Cichliformes, Cichlidae. The record is from RefSeq and is a predicted model, not a curated record.